Molecule: ribosomal RNA, 253 nt
Filed under: uncultured bacterium
Lineage: Bacteria
Description: partial 16S ribosomal RNA
Rfam family: Bacterial small subunit ribosomal RNA
Source: RNAcentral
UACAGAGGGUACUAGCGUUGUUCGGAAUCAUUGGGCGUAAAGGGCGCGUAGGCGGCCUGUUAAGUCGAACGUGAAAUCCCCGGGCUCAACCCGGGAACUGCGUCCGAUACUGGCAGGCUUGAAUCCGGGAGAGGGAUGCGGAAUUCCAGGUGUAGCGGUGAAAUGCGUAGAUAUCUGGAGGAACACCGGUGGCAAAGGCGGCAUCCUGGACCGGCAUUGACGCUGAGGCGCGAAAGCCAGGGGAGCAAACGGG